Lineus longissimus is the source of this 244-nucleotide long non-coding RNA. RefSeq lists it as uncharacterized. NCBI's taxonomy places the organism in Eukaryota, Metazoa, Nemertea, Pilidiophora, Heteronemertea, Lineidae. The record is from RefSeq and is a predicted model, not a curated record. The transcript is spliced from 3 exons.
GUUUGGCCUCGUUACCGGAAAAGGAAGACAAAAUUGGUUUUGAUUAUAUCGGUAAUGGAGCUGCACGAUUCGACUACUACUUCAAGUCCAAGAAGGAACCCUGAUGAAGGGAAACAUUAGAGAGACUGCAAACACAUGAGACUCUCACUGCAGCUGCUGAACAAAAGUAGUCUAAUGAUUAGAUGAACAUUUCUGCAUACCUUGUGUCGCGACUAAGCAUGCUUUUAAAAUGAAAUAACUUGAC